GUUAAUGUAGCUUAACCUUAAAGCAAGGCACUGAAAAUGCCUAGAUGAAUUAAUCAAUUCCAUAAACA
Molecule: transfer RNA, 68 nt
Filed under: Heterocephalus glaber (naked mole-rat)
Lineage: Eukaryota; Metazoa; Chordata; Mammalia; Rodentia; Bathyergidae
Rfam family: tRNA
About the family: Transfer RNA (tRNA) molecules are approximately 80 nucleotides in length. Their secondary structure includes four short double-helical elements and three loops (D, anti-codon, and T loops).
Source: Rfam by way of RNAcentral